RNAcentral lists this small RNA (56 nucleotides) under Sinorhizobium meliloti 2011. RNAcentral's name for it is "putative ncRNA". The record is from RNAcentral. Lineage: Bacteria; Pseudomonadati; Pseudomonadota; Alphaproteobacteria; Hyphomicrobiales; Rhizobiaceae.
AUGAUGAACUCCUCGUCUUUCACGAAACGCAGACGGGAUGGUUACUUCCGGCAAAA